UGCUGGAGGUAUCAGAAGUGCGAAUGCUGACAUAAGUAACGAUAAAGCGGGUGAAAAGCCCGCUCGCCGGAAGACCAAGGGUUCCUGUCCAACGUUAAUCGGGGCAGGGUGAGUCGACCCCUAAGGCGAGGCCGAAAGGCGUAGUCGAUGGGAAACGGGUUAAUAUUCCCGUACUUGGUGUUACUGCGAAGGGGGGACGGAGAAGGCUAUGUUGGCCGGGCGACGGUUGUCCCGGUUUAAGCGUGUAGGUGUGUGUUCCAGGUAAAUCCGGUUCACUUUAACACUGAGGCGUGAUGACGAGGCACUACGGUGCUGAAGCAACAAAUGCCCUGCUUCCAGGAAAAGCCUCUAAGCAUCAGGUAACAUCAAAUCGUACCCCAAACCGACACAGGUGGUCAGGUAGAGAAUACCAAGGCGCUUGAGAGAACUCGGGUGAAGGAACUAGGCAAAAUGGUGCCGUAACUUCGGGAGAAGGCACGCUGACACGUAGGUGAAGUGAUUUACUCACGGAGCUGAAGUCAGUCGAAGAUACCAGCUGGCUGCAACUGUUUAUUAAAAACACAGCACUGUGCAAACACGAAAGUGGACGUAUACGGUGUGACGCCUGCCCGGUGCCGGAAGGUUAAUUGAUGGGGUCAGCGCAAGCGAAGCUCCUGAUCGAAGCCCCGGUAAACGGCGGCCGUAACUAUAACGGUCCUAAGGUAGCGAAAUUCCUUGUCGGGUAAGUUCCGACCUGCACGAAUGGCGUAAUGAUGGCCAGGCUGUCUCCACCCGAGACUCAGUGAAAUUGAACUCGCUGUGAAGAUGCAGUGUACCCGCGGCAAGACGGAAAGACCCCGUGAACCUUUACUAUAGCUUGACACUGAACAUUGAGCCUUGAUGUGUAGGAUAGGUGGGAGGCUUUGAAGCGUGGACGCCAGUCUGCGUGGAGCCGACCUUGAAAUACCACCCUUUAAUGUUUGAUGUUCUAACGUGGACCCGUGAUCCGGGUUGCGGACAGUGUCUGGUGGGUAGUUUGACUGGGGCGGUCUCCUCCUAAAGAGUAACGGAGGAGCACGAAGGUUGGCUAAUCCUGGUCGGACAUCAGGAGGUUAGUGCAAUGGCAUAAGCCAGCUUGACUGCGAGCGUGACGGCGCGAGCAGGUGCGAAAGCAGGUCAUAGUGAUCCGGUGGUUCUGAAUGGAAGGGCCAUCGCUCAACGGAUAAAAGGUACUCCGGGGAUAACAGGCUGAUACCGCCCAAGAGUUCAUAUCGACGGCGGUGUUUGGCACCUCGAUGUCGGCUCAUCACAUCCUGGGGCUGAAGUAGGUCCCAAGGGUAUGGCUGUUCGCCAUUUAAAGUGGUACGCGAGCUGGGUUUAGAACGUCGUGAGACAGUUCGGUCCCUAUCUGCCGUGGGCGCUGGAGAACUGAGGGGGGCUGCUCCUAGUACGAGAGGACCGGAGUGGACGCAUCACUGGUGUUCGGGUUGUCAUGCCAAUGGCACUGCCCGGUAGCUAAAUGCGGAAGAGAUAAGUGCUGAAAGCAUCUAAGCACGAAACUUGCCCCGAGAUGAGUUCUCCCUGAGACUUAGAGUCUCCUGAAGGAACGUUGAAGACGACGACGUUGAUAGGCCG
This 1614-nucleotide ribosomal RNA is filed under the name Salmonella enterica subsp. enterica serovar Heidelberg. RNAcentral's name for it is "bacterial LSU rRNA". It matches the Rfam family "Bacterial large subunit ribosomal RNA", at positions 1271 to 2863 of the family's 2925-position model. Lineage: Bacteria; Pseudomonadati; Pseudomonadota; Gammaproteobacteria; Enterobacterales; Enterobacteriaceae. The record is from RNAcentral. RNAcentral also lists the same sequence under 1 other name.